Molecule: ribosomal RNA, 525 nt
Filed under: uncultured Sideroxydans sp.
Lineage: Bacteria; Pseudomonadati; Pseudomonadota; Betaproteobacteria; Nitrosomonadales; Gallionellaceae
Description: bacterial SSU rRNA
Rfam family: Bacterial small subunit ribosomal RNA
Source: RNAcentral
AGAGUUUGAUCCUGGCUCAGAUUGAACGCUGGCGGCAUGCUUUACACAUGCAAGUCGAACGGCAGCACGGGUGCUUGCACCUGGUGGCGAGUGGCGAACGGGUGAGUAAUAUAUCGGAACAUGUCCGGAAGUGGGGGAUAACGUAGCGAAAGUUACGCUAAUACCGCAUAUGCCCUGAGGGGGAAAGGGGGGGAUCGCAAGACCUCUCGCUUUCGGAGUGGCCGAUAUCAGAUUAGCUAGUUGGUGAGGUAAAGGCUCACCAAGGCGACGAUCUGUAGCUGGUCUGAGAGGACGACCAGCCACACUGGGACUGAGACACGGCCCAGACUCCUACGGGAGGCAGCAGUGGGGAAUUUUGGACAAUGGGCGAAAGCCUGAUCCAGCCAUGCCGCGUGAGUGAAGAAGGCCUUCGGGUUGUAAAGCUCUUUCGGACAGAAAGAAAUCGCACUGGUUAAUACCUUGUGUGGAUGACGGUACUGUAAGAAGAAGCACCGGCUAACUACGUGCCAGCAGCCGCGGUAAUAC